Podarcis lilfordi (Lilford's wall lizard) is the source of this 775-nucleotide non-coding RNA. Lineage: Eukaryota; Metazoa; Chordata; Lepidosauria; Squamata; Lacertidae. The record is from the annotation of a GenBank genome assembly.
GAAGAGGCGGGGCGGCGGGAAAGGGCGCCGCUGGCUUCCCGGGCUGCUUUGAGGAGUCUGCUGGUCAAGCAGGCGGGCAAAUGCAUGAGAAUACCCGACCAGUUGCGAUGCCGGAAUUCGAUUCUGAAGCCCCCAGUGCAAUGCCUGUUCCCCUCCAGAAUAAAUCCUGGCUGUGCCCAAGCCAAAAAGCAGAGAUAUCACCUUGCCAACAAAGGUCCGUAUAGUUCAAGCUCUGGUUUUCCCAGUCGUGAUGUAUGGAAGUGAGAGCUGGACCAUCAAGAAGGCUGAUCGCCAAAGAAUGGAUGCUUUUGAAUUCUGGUGCUGGAGGAGACUCUUGAGAGUCCCAUGGACUGCAAGAAGAUCAAACGUAUCCAUUCUGAAGGAAAUCAGCCCUGAGUGCUCACUGGAAGGACAGAUCCUGAAGCUGAGGCUCCAAGACUUUGGCCACCUCAUGAGAAGAGAAGACUCCCUGGAAAAGACCCUGAUGUUGGGAAAGAUGGAGGGCGCAAGGAGAAGGGGACGAGAGGACGAGGUGGUGGGACAGUGUUCUCGAAGCUACGAACAUGAGUUUGACCAAACUGCGGGAGGCAGUGGAGGACAGAAGUGCCUGGCAUGCUAGAGGGGUCCAGGGGGGCACAAAGAGUCAGGCACGACUAAGCGACUCAACAACAAUGCCUAUGCCAGCGGCACACAUUUCUGCUGUGGUUUUGGACAAUUAUCAAAGCAUUUUUGAGAGAUUUUUUUUUUUUUUUAAUAAUAAUUUUAUUAAGGUUUU